RNAcentral lists this ribosomal RNA (439 nucleotides) under uncultured Flavisolibacter sp. Its description in RNAcentral is "bacterial SSU rRNA". It matches the Rfam family "Bacterial small subunit ribosomal RNA", at positions 348 to 785 of the family's 1533-position model. Lineage: Bacteria; Pseudomonadati; Bacteroidota; Chitinophagia; Chitinophagales; Chitinophagaceae. The record is from RNAcentral.
GCAGCAGUAAGGAAUAUUGGUCAAUGGACGCAAGUCUGAACCAGCCAUGCCGCGUGAAGGAUGAAGGUCCUCUGGAUUGUAAACUUCUUUUAUAUGGGACGAAACCUCUUAUUCUUAAGAGACUGACGGUACCAUAGGAAUAAGCACCGGCUAACUCCGUGCCAGCAGCCGCGGUAAUACGGAGGGUGCAAGCGUUAUCCGGAUUCACUGGGUUUAAAGGGAGCGUAGGAGGGCAGGUAAGUCAGUGGUGAAAUCUUCGAGCUUAACUCGGAAACUGCCGUUGAUACUAUCUGUCUUGAAUACCGUGGAGAUGAGCGGAAUAUGUCAUGUAGCGGUGAAAUGCUUAGAUAUGACAUAGAACACCAAUUGCGAAGGCAGCUCGUUACACGAAUAUUGACUCUGAGGCUCGAAAGCGUGGGGAUCAAACAGGAUUAGAUAC